GUCAAGGUUGGGGGGGAGCUUCCAACAUAGGGGGUGGCAUGGCAGGAGGCUCAGGGAGGGGCCAACCAGGCCUUAUCAACAGGAACCUCCCCCUCCCCAGGAGACUCCCACUCCCCCCACACACACCCUAGACUGGAAACAGCACUGCACCGGGAAGUCAGGAGGCCCCAGUGUGGUCCAGAUCUGUCCCUCGCUUACUGGGUGGCCGCUCCUGGCACUCAGAGCAGAAAGGAUGCAGGACUGUGGCUCAGUGUACAGCCAAGCCCCACACCUGCAGGCUCUCACCGAAUUCUCCCAACUGGAUCCGUCCCCGCUCCGCACCCCCGGCCACUGAUGCAGAAACUAAGCUUUAGAGGUUAAGCGACCAACCCAAAGUCACAAAACUGAUGAUGGAGCUGAGAUUCAAAUCAAGCAGUCUCGCUCCAGAGCCCAAGCUCCUAACCACCCUCUCCAGUCGCUUCCUGCUUCUCCGUUUCCCAUUCUGGAAAAUCAACAGGCUUGGUACACUUGACCUCCAAGGACCAGAACAUCCCAGCUCUGACAGUCUGUGCUUUGCUCAGCUCUCACUGUAUUACCAGAUUACCAGGCCCUGGACUGGGGAAUUCAAAGGUGAAAGCUAUGAACUCCCGUUCGUGCUGGGGGCAGGGAGCAGACGGGCUGAGCCCGGUCCCCAGCAGCAAGGAAGGAAGAGUGAGAAGGCUGCGCUUCCAGCUCCCUGGGCAGCCUCCCAGCAGGCUGAUUCCCAUGCAGCCCCUGCUCCUCCGUGCAGAUGCCCCUCUGUCUAGACAGCGCUCCUCGGAAGAAGCUUGCAAACCACGCACUGUCUGAUGACAAAGCUCACCCAGACGCCAGUGCCCGACGCAGGCCUCAUGCAACCCUUCCAGAAGAGGAGAAGCCUGGCUCCCAUCUCUGAAGCAGAGGGGACUCUGAGAACAGGAAUGACUGGGCUCUCUGCUAUGGCCCAGGAUAGCAGUGGAAGAUGGCCCAAGUCCUCGGGCCCCUGCACCCGCGUGGGAGACCCGGAGGAAGCUCCUGGCUCCUGGCUUCAGAUCGGCGCAGUUACGGCUAUUGUGGCUAGUUGGGGAGUGAACCAGCAGAUGGAAGACCCCUCUCUCUCUCUCUCUCUCUCUCUCUCUCUGCCUCUACUCUCUCUGUGUAACUCCGACUUUCAAGUAAAAUAAAUAAAUCUAUAUAUAUAUAAAAAGGAAUGAC
This 1212-nucleotide long non-coding RNA is filed under the name Oryctolagus cuniculus (rabbit). Its description in RNAcentral is "lncRNA (ENSOCUG00000034374.1)". The record is from RNAcentral. Lineage: Eukaryota; Metazoa; Chordata; Mammalia; Lagomorpha; Leporidae.